This 460-nucleotide ribosomal RNA is filed under the name uncultured bacterium. Its description in RNAcentral is "partial 16S ribosomal RNA". It matches the Rfam family "Bacterial small subunit ribosomal RNA", at positions 338 to 795 of the family's 1533-position model. The record is from RNAcentral.
CCUACGGGCGGCAGCAGUGAGGAAUAUUGGUCAAUGGGCUUACGCCUGAACCAGCCAAGUCGCGUGAGGGAAGACUGCCCUAUGGGUUGUAAACCUCUUUUGUCAGGGAGCAACGCCGGCUACGUGUAGCCGGACUGAGAGUACCUGAAGAAAAAGCAUCGGCUAACUCCGUGCCAGCAGCCGCGGUAAUACGGAGGAUGCGAGCGUUAUCCGGAUUUAGUGGGUUUAAAGGGUGCGUAGGCGGAAUGCCAAGUCAGCGGUAAAAUCGCGGGGCUCAACCUCGCUCCGCCGUUGAACCUGGCGUUGUUGGGUGGGCGAGAAGUAUGCGGAAUGCGUGGUGUAGCGGUGAGAUGCAUAGAUAUCACGCAGAACUGCGAUUGCGAAGGCAGCAGACCGGCGCCCAGCUGACGCUGAAGCACGAAAGCGUGGGUAUCGAACAGGAUUAGAUACCCCAGUAGUC